ACACCAGAGACUUUUUCAGACCAAAUGACAAAAUGUGGGCACGAUUCAGCAGCUGAUUUUGUUCAGCCAUAACUGAUGCAAGGGGAACGUCUGCUCGUCCACUUAAAUGAUUGUGUGCUCUGGGAGGUUAGGGAUAUGUUUUUGGUAGCAAUCCACGCAUCAUUGGUCUUAUUCAAAAGAUCAUCAUUUUCUCAAAACCAGUGGUGGGGAAACAUAAUCCGCAGCAUUGACAUAAGCGGAAACUGAAAAAUUCCCUCAUUGAGGGAAAAUGUGGAAAUCCAAGGAAACGAGCUUCAGGAAGGCUAAUGCCGUCUUACUUUUGGGAUGUCAGUCAUAUCCGCCCCACUGGCAUGAAAACACACACCGACUGAAUCUCAGACAAUCCCUCGAAGAGAGAGAGAGAGAGAGAGAGAAAGAGAGAGGGAGAAAGAGAAAGAGAGAGAGAGUCUCAAGGUGAUCAAGCAA
Molecule: long non-coding RNA, 465 nt
Organism: Myripristis murdjan (pinecone soldierfish)
Lineage: Eukaryota; Metazoa; Chordata; Actinopteri; Holocentriformes; Holocentridae
Exons: 3
Source: RefSeq, a predicted model, not a curated record